RNAcentral lists this ribosomal RNA (496 nucleotides) under uncultured bacterium. RNAcentral's name for it is "partial 16S ribosomal RNA". It matches the Rfam family "Bacterial small subunit ribosomal RNA", at positions 29 to 507 of the family's 1533-position model. The record is from RNAcentral.
AUGAACGCUGGCGGCGUGCCUAAUACAUGCAAGUCGAGCGAACAGACGAGGAGCUUGCUCCUCUGACGUUAGCGGCGGACGGGUGAGUAACACGUGGAUAACCUACCUAUAAGACUGGGAUAACUUCGGGAACCCGGAGCUAAUACCGGAUAAUAUAUUUAACCGCAUGGUUCAAUAGUGAAAGACGGUUUUGCUGUCACUUAUAGAUGGAUCCGCGCCGCAUUAGCUAGUUGGUAAGGUAACGGCUUACCAAGGCGACGAUGCGUAGCCGACCUGAGAGGGUGAUCGGCCACACUGGAACUGAGACACGGUCCAGACUCCUACGGGAGGCAGCAGUAGGGAAUCUUCCGCAAUGGGCGAAAGCCUGACGGAGCAACGCCGCGUGAGUGAUGAAGGUCUUCGGAUCGUAAAACUCUGUUAUUAGGGAAGAACAAAUGUGUAAGUAACUAUGCACGUCUUGACGGUACCUAAUCAGAAAGCCACGGCUAACUACGUG